Molecule: long non-coding RNA, 1195 nt
Filed under: Zostera marina
Lineage: Eukaryota; Viridiplantae; Streptophyta; Magnoliopsida; Alismatales; Zosteraceae
Description: long non-coding RNA (ZMAR_LNC005544)
Source: RNAcentral
AGUACCGACAGCUCGGAAUGUUAAUGGUAUUUAUUGCAGAUUUGCAUGUAUUUCUAACCUGCAGUAGAAAAUGCUAAUCCGAAGAGUUGCCUGGAACUGCUUCUACAGGAGAUGUGUUUGUAGUGAGAAUUCCUAUUUACGCACUAUGUGCGAUCCAAAUCGUAGUCAUUCAUUUAAUGUGUUUGAAUGUUAGCCGUUGGUGUGAAAUUGCAGCCUUGAUGUGCAGUUUAUGACACACCGACAGUCAUAGUACACCUAACAUCGUGCCGGUAGGGUGUUGUGGCUCUGCUAUGUAGUUAUUGUUUGAUGUUUUUUUAGAGCAAAGGGAACAUCUUUUUUUAUUAUGAUUUGCGUUUUAGCAUUGGCGAAAAAAGGGAAUGUUUUUUGUUCUGGUUUAACAUUGAUGUCAAGCGAUUUUUCUUCCUUCUACUGUUAUGUGGUUUUUAAUAAGUUUUUUCAAUGAUAAAUAUUUCUUUUGCUGGUCAUGUUGAAUACUGUUCAGUGGGAAUGAAUCAUAAAAUUCAUAGUUUAUAUUAACUGCCCAGUUGAUUUUUCUUUAUCAUAGUUUUAUCAAUUUCAAUCUCUAAUCACGAUAGAUUAGUUUGUUUUCCUCUUCUGUCAAGAUGUAUGAUUUGUUCUCUUUUUUGGAGGAUAAAGUGAAUUACAACAGUUCAUGGAUGUUUUUCUGCCAAUAUAUACUGAAUCGUAUUUUUGAAUUUUUCUUCUUCUCCUGAAUCCAUCACAUUGUAGAUUCUUUGAACAGAAUGAAGAUUAUCAAGGGAAUGGACAUCACUGAACUAAUGGCAUCAGGUCGGGAGAAGCUUGCUUCUGUACCAUUCCGGUUGCGGUGUUGCAGUUGCAGCAGCACCUAGUUCAGGUGGCGCAGUACGGGCCACCUGAAUGUAAGUAUUCUGAUAAACAUCAUCCUAAUGGGAUAUGGUAUUCAUUUUUGCCUUGUUUUUGCAGGAUAUGAUGGGAUUCAGCCUGUUCGAUUAAAUGUUGCUAAAUGUGUCUUAAAAAUUUCAAAUGCCCUCCAUCGCUCCCUCCAUUUAGAUUCUAUUCUAGCAAUUUUUUGCUUGUUUGUUGUUCAAUGAUUUAUGUUUCUUUUAUUAAAUGUUGUUGCUACUCCUUUCUUGUAGUUUUAUUUUCAAACCAUUUUAUUUAAUGAAUAAUUUAAUGAAAAUCUCUUCCCAAA